UAAUUUGGUUUUGAGUUCCUGAAUCUUUCUGUCCUUUAAAUCUAUUUGCUUUUGCUUUCUCUUUAAGGCUUGAUUAACUAUACGUUUGGGAGUUUUCAACCGUGCCCUAAGUUCACUGAUCUUUGUAAAAGCAGCCCUGGAUUCGGACACAAACUUUAGUCUUUUCUUCAAUUUCUGUUUCCCUGGUGAAAUAAAUUUUCUGCUACAUCUUGUUGAAACACUAGAUGUCGAUGGCAUUGGUUCGGGUGAGGCAGCAGCUG
Molecule: long non-coding RNA, 260 nt
Organism: Amblyraja radiata (thorny skate)
Lineage: Eukaryota; Metazoa; Chordata; Chondrichthyes; Rajiformes; Rajidae
Exons: 3
Source: RefSeq, a predicted model, not a curated record